GAUGAACGCUGGCGACGUGCCUAAUACAUGCAAGUCGAGCGAACAGACGAGGAGCUUGCUCCUCUGACGUUAGCGGCGGACGGGUGAGUAACACGUGGAUAACCUACCUAUAAGACUGGGAUAACUUCGGGAAACCGGAGCUAAUACCGGAUAAUAUAUUGAACCGCAUGGUUCAAUAGUGAAAGACGGUUUUGCUGUCACUUAUAGAUGGAUCCGCGCCGCAUUAGCUAGUUGGUAAGGUAACGGCUUACCAAGGCGACGAUGCGUAGCCGACCUGAGAGGGUGAUCGGCCACACUGGAACUGAGACACGGUCCAGGCUCCUACGGGAGGCAGCAGUAGGGAAUCUUCCGCAAUGGGCGAAAGCCUGACGGAGCAACGCCGCGUGAGUGAUGAAGGUCUUCGGAUCGUAAAACUCUGUUAUUAGGGAAGAACAAAUGUGUAAGUAACUAUGCACGUCUUGACGGUACCUAAUCAGAAAGCCACGGCUAACUACGUG
RNAcentral lists this ribosomal RNA (497 nucleotides) under uncultured bacterium. Its description in RNAcentral is "partial 16S ribosomal RNA". It matches the Rfam family "Bacterial small subunit ribosomal RNA", at positions 28 to 507 of the family's 1533-position model. The record is from RNAcentral.